GACGAACGCUGGCGGCGUGCUUAACACAUGCAAGUCGAACGAUGAAGCUGGAGCUUGCUCCGGUGGAUUAGUGGCGAACGGGUGAGUAACACGUGAGCAAUCUGCCCUUGACUCUGGGAUAACUGCGGGAAACUGUAGCUAAUACCGGAUACGAGACCUGAAGGCAUCUUCGGGUCUGGAAAGAAUGUUGGUCAAGGAUGAGCUCGCGGCGUAUCAGCUUGCUGGUGAGGUAAUGGCUCACCAAGGCGACGACGGGUAGCCGGCCUGAGAGGGUGACCCGCCACACUGUGACUGAGCCACGGCCCAGACUCCUACGUGAGGCAGCAGUGGGGAAUAUUGCACAAUGGGCGAAAGCCUGAUGCAGCAACGCCGCGUGAGGGAUGAAGGCCUUCAGGUUGUAAACCUCUUUUAGCAGGGAAGAAGCGAAAGUGACGGUACCUGCAGAAAAAGCACCGGCUAACUACGUGCCAGCCGCCGCUGUAA
Molecule: ribosomal RNA, 483 nt
Filed under: uncultured bacterium
Lineage: Bacteria
Description: partial 16S ribosomal RNA
Rfam family: Bacterial small subunit ribosomal RNA
Source: RNAcentral